Aplysia californica (California sea hare) is the source of this 2819-nucleotide RNA transcript. It is a transcript of the gene named basic salivary proline-rich protein 4, with no coding region annotated. The transcript has 6 exons. NCBI's taxonomy places the organism in Eukaryota, Metazoa, Mollusca, Gastropoda, Aplysiida, Aplysiidae. The record is from RefSeq and is a predicted model, not a curated record.
GCCAUGGCCAUGGCGGGAGGUAGUUGAGGCGGUAGUGUAAGUUUUGUUUUUUUGAGGGGUGGGAGGUAGGAAGGGAUGGGUGGCAGGGGUAAAAUGGCUUGGGAAGAGCUUCCUGCUGAUUUGAGUUUGAGUGUGAGGUUGUUGGAGUGGCGUGAAAUGUGUAGGACUACCCUGAAAGAUCUCAUGACCGGACCAUGUACAGGAGGACCACCCCCUGGAAAGGACGAUCUGAAGGAUCAAACGACCAGACCAUCUUCAGGAGGACCACCCCCUGGAGGACGAUCCGGAGGACGACCUGAUGGAUCCCUCGACUGAAUCAUCUACAGGAGGUAUUUGUCUGUGAAAUAUUUCUUAGAACUUUAGACAUUCAUUAUUGUAGUAAAAUUAGAAAAAUGUAUUGGUGGGGUGGGUCUAGGUUCAAUGUAAGUUUUUUUUUUUGCAUUUAAGUGAAAAGAGAAAAAGAUAAAAUGUAGUUCUUUCCUUUUAAAUCAGUAGUGAACAAUAUUAUGGAAAUCUUAAACAUUUCCUGAAUUAGAAAAAACUAUAGAUGAAAGAAGAUAUUCUUAAUUGACUUACGUCUUUAUCACCAGGACCACCCCCUAGAGAGGAUGAUCCGAAGGAUCCAAUGAUCGGACCAUCUUCAGGAGGUAGUCACUGAAAUAUGUCUUGGAACAUAAUUUGUCCUUUUUUACUUCACUAAGUUUAGUAUCUUUAGAAAAAUAUCUCUUGAUGAGACUUUGGUACAAUGUAAAAGUUUUAUUUUUGCACUUCGGUGAAAAAUGAAAAUUGUAAAACGUAUUUAACAGAUUUUUGUAAAUGCACUUCUGAAACUGACACAUGUCUUCAUCACCAGGACUAUCCCCUGGAGGACGACCCGAUGAAUCUCACGACCGGACCAUUUACAGGAGGUAUUUGUGAAAUAUGUUUAUUCAGUAAAAUUGGAAAAAUACAUACUCUUGGGACUGAGUUCGAUGCAAAAGUUUUAUUUUUGCGCUAAGAUGAACAAACAAUUGGUAAAAUGUAGUUAUUGACAGAUUUUUAAAAAUAUCCUCCUUUCUUUUUAAACCAUAAGUAAACAAUAUUAUGGCGACUCUAUUUUGUUUUCAUAAACAAAAGAAAGUGUGUAGAUGAAAGUGGAUAUUCUUAAUUAUAUAUAUCUUCAUUACCAGGACCACCCCCAGGAGAGGAGGUCGACCUGAAAGAUCCUAUAACCGGACCAUCUUCAGAAGGUAUUUAAAAAAGUCAACUCUUGGAACGUUAUUUGUUUCAUUAUUUCAGUUAUUUAAACGGGAUACCUAGCCGUGCUGGUUGGGUUCCGUUAAAUUAAGUUUUAUUUUUGCACUUAAAUGGAAAGAGAAAAUGAUUUAAUAUAUUUCUUUCCUUUUAAAUCAGUAGUAUAAACGUUUUUAUGGCAACUCUUUAUUUUCUGAAAUAGAAAGAAAAAAAACUAGAUGAAAGGAGAUAUUCUUAACACACAUCUUCAUCACCAGGACCUCCACCUGGAGAGGAGGACGACCCCUGGGAUCCCACGACUGGACCAUCUUCAGCAGGUAUUUGUCAUUGAAAUAUCUUUUGGAACAUUAUUUCCCCAUUUUUUUCUAUAAAAUUAGAAAAAGUACCUAUUUGUGGUAGUGAGUCCAAUGUAAAAGAUUUAUUUUUGCACUUUGGUGAAAAAUAAAAAUGUGAAAAUGUAUUUACCUACAGAUUUAUAUAAAUGAGCUCCUUUCCUUUUAAACCAAAAUAAACAAUACUGUUGCGAUUCUUUGUUCUCUAAAACAAAAGAACAGUGUUUAGAUUCAAGUGGACACUUUUAAUUGACACGUCUUCAUCACCAGGUCCACCCCUUGGAGAGGACGACCUGAAGGAUCCUAAGACCAGACCAUCUUCCGAAGGUAAUUGUCAUUGGAAUAUCUCUUUGAACAUUAUUUGUCCAUUUCUUCAUCACUAAUUUUAGUACCAUUAGAAAAAUGUAUAUUCGUAUAAUUUCAUUCAAGGUAAGUUUUAUUUUUGCACUUUGGUGAAAAAUGUAAAUGGUAAAACAUAUGUACUAACAGAUUUUUGUAAAAUUUCUUCUUAAACAAACACAUUUUCAUCACCAGGACCACUCCCUGGAAGACGAUCCGGAGGACGACCUGAUGGAUCCCACGACCGGACCAUCGACAGGAGGUAUUUGUCUGUGAAAUAUGUCUUGAAACAUUAUUUAUUAUUUCAAUAACAUUUGUAAAAUACCCACUGGUUCAAUGCAAAAGUUACAUUUUUGCACUUAGGUGAAAAAAGAAAGUAAAACGUAUUUACUGACAAAUUUUUAUAGAUAUCCCCCUUCCCUUUUAAACCAUAAGUAAAAAACAUUAUAGCGAUUCUUUUUGUUUUCUAAAACAACAAAAAAAAUUUGUGUAGAUGAAAGUUGAUACUUUUAAUAAACACACGUGUUCAUCACCAGGACAACCCCCUGGAGAGGAGGAUGACCUGACGAUCCUACGAUCGGACCAUCAUCAGGAGGACGUACGUCUGGAGUGGAGGAUGACCCACAAGAUCCCAGGACCGGACCAUCUUUAGGGCCUCCACCUGAAGAGGAGGGCAACCCGGAGGACUACCCCGGAAGAUCCCACAACCGGACCAUCUUCAGGAGACGGCCGGAACUUUGGUGACAUCAGACGGUCUCUUCACUUUUCUGGUCCAACAAGUAUCAUAAUGGUCUGUGGCUACGUUUUCCACAUAUCACACUCAGGCUUAAAUUGAUGCAGUGGGGCAGUAGAGAUAUCCAGAUAGGUUGAUAGGGAGCUAGGUGGUUAGGCUAGGUUCAGAGUAGGAUUUCGUAG